This is a long non-coding RNA of Oncorhynchus nerka (sockeye salmon), 1083 nucleotides long. RefSeq lists it as uncharacterized. The transcript has 2 exons. Lineage: Eukaryota; Metazoa; Chordata; Actinopteri; Salmoniformes; Salmonidae. The record is from RefSeq and is a predicted model, not a curated record.
UACCAGUUAAUUAAAUAUCGCGUUAGAAUUUGUUGUGUGACAUGAAGAAGAUUUCUCCAACAGAGCUAAACAGUUGUCUGAAAAUCAGGAAAACCUGUCCUGAAGGAAACUUUUCACAAUAAUCUCUAAAUUCUCCAGGUGUGUGCGCCUGUUCACUUCCCUUCAUGGAUUUGAAUGGAAAUGACUGGUACAUGGGAAUUCACUCUAGUGCCCAUACCUACACCAACCCAAUGCUUUUAGAUUUGUUGGAUUUGUUGGAAUUACUGGACAAACAAACACUUUCGGAGAUAGGAGAUAUUAUUUGAACGCAAUCCAGAUGAGAAUAUUUAAAAACCAAUAUGGCGGACAAUGUGUGUGUUGUAUGUAGGUACUAGAACACUGGUGGAAGAGAGGGACAUUGCAAUCCCAACGAUGAGGACCGUGUUGAGGUGUCCUGAAGGAUGGAGGCUGUUAGGAUUCAGAUGUUACUUCCUGUCUACUGAGAAGAAAACCUGGGCUUGCAGCAGACAGGACUGUCUGGAGAGAGGAGCAGACCUGGUGUUCAUAAACAGCAGAGAGGAGCAGGUGUGCCUGUCUGGUGAACCCAGAGAAGAGGGUUGGGAAGUACUGCACCUUGUAGGCAACCGUGGUCCUGGAGUACCGCAGGGAUGUUUUUAAUUUAACCGACCUGGAAGAACGGGCUGAAGAGAGAGACCAGCUACAGACCAGUUUCAACAACCUGACUGAAGAGAGAGACCAGCUACAGACCAGUUUCAACAACUUGAUGGAAGAGAGACCACCUACAGACCAGUUACAGCACCCUGACUGAGGAGAGAAACCAGCAUAUUACCAAUAUGAUUUCCUCUUUAUACCAUUAGUUAUUUCCUCAGAUUCUAGCUUCCUGUAUACCAGUAGUUGUUUGACAAAUCAACAUUACAUUAGUACAUUUGACUUUGUCCACACUCUACAUGUGGUGCAUUUCAUCAUUUCCAUUUCAAAUAUAUUAUUUGUACUUUCCACAAAUAUUAGACAAACCAUAGAGUAUAUUGACUGGUGAGUCAUUCUAAGGAACACAAUAAAAAUAUCCCCAUCAAAAUCUGUCAA